Molecule: long non-coding RNA, 2754 nt
Filed under: Salmo salar (Atlantic salmon)
Lineage: Eukaryota; Metazoa; Chordata; Actinopteri; Salmoniformes; Salmonidae
Description: lncRNA (ENSSSAG00000112298.1)
Source: RNAcentral
AUUUAUACAACCUCUGACCGUCUGCGUUUCCAAAGCAUGUACUUUAUCCAGAAUGUUUUUUGGAUCUGAACAUGGGGUGUGCUAAGCAAAAUAAUACUUUCACAGAAAACUAAAAUCAAUGUCAUGUGUUUGCCUACUAUGACUUUAGUAAUGCAGUACACACAGCCUAUAUCAAAAUGUUCUGCCAUGAAGAGUAGAUCCCACUCCUUCCCCUACAAAAAUAGAUGGUGAAGCUAUUUGUGCUAUGAACCAAAGACAAGUUGCGUUAAACUAAAGAAAAAAACUUAAUGUCCACUUAUUAUUAUUAUUAUUGUUGUUGUAGUGUGUAACCAAUCAAUGAAAUGAUACAGCUUUGUGAGUCCAUGACAGGAUAUUAUGAAGUCACAAUGAGCAGGUUCUGGAUUGUUCCAGAAGAAACACUGAUGAUGUCCUGCAUCUGCCUUCCCUCUGUCUCCAGUAUGUAGUAUGUAUGACAUAAUCUCGGAGCCCAGAACCAAAUCCAGCAUGCGCUAGUCUGAGAUUAGACAUGACACGCCAUUUCUCCUCUCUUUGCCAGGAAGUGCAAUGUGCCAACAGUUCCUCUGUAGAGCUGUCUGCUAGUGUAGGGAGUAGACUGAUAUUAGGAACACACCCCACAUGCCUUCAUUACACCUAUGCAAGUCCUGAACCACAACCGUGCCUUGACAAUCAAUCCCAGCUUCUCGCUUAGCAACACUUGCUCACACGAAUCGCGGAGAUCAGUUUUUAAGUCAUAAGGCUCUUCUGUAACUUUAUUGUUGGUCAGCAGUAUAUUUGGUAUUUAAUCAUUGACAUCAGACUUUAAAAAUCAUUAUUCAAACAGUCUGUUUAUUAACCAGUAAUCAUUGAAGGGGAUUACCUCUAUAAUGAUGUCAUCUACCAUCCCUAUCCUACCAUCCUUAUAACAGACAUAUUUGAAUCUGUGACAGUUAGUUUCCUGUCAUAUGACAUGUAGCACGGGCAACGUCAUUGGAUGUUUCAGGUCUGCUCUGUUGCUUGGGGCAGGAUGAGUUUCUACAUGCCCUCACCUGUCUGUGUGCGCAGAGCUGAGAAAAUCCUAGAUGUAAUCCACACACAGACAAAAUGGAGUUUGGUUGUGUUUAGGCCAGCUCUCAAACUGGGAUUUAGACUUUUCUUUCUGUAUGCUGAAACAUGAUAUUAUUAUUCACUCGGCUGUCUUUGUUAGUUUUGGGGAUUGUCAUGUUUGUUCUGUCUCAAUUUAUUAUUUCAAACUGGAACUUGUAACAUUUUUGUGUCUUUUUUUAUUUGACCAUUUUAGCUAAUUGGAAGUUUUAAAGUAAUAUUUUUGGAAUGGAGCAUUUUUAGAACAAUGAGAUCCGUUGUAUUUGUUGAAAAGGUAUUCUUUGUGUGCGGUUGAUGUCAGUCAGUAUUAUAAGCAGUGUACAUUUAUGUGACAGUAUUACAAACCUGUGAGAUCACAUUCACUUUUUAAAAAUAUUGUGCCCUUUUUUUACCCAGUGAUAGUCUCAUUUCAUCUUACAGCAGCUGAAGAAAGUUGAUGCCUAAUGAUUUUUACAUUGCUCAGUUAAUUGGCCAAGAGCUAAACAAUUUUCACAAGGUUUGAAACACACAACUACACAAGUCAUGUUCAUAUAAAGACAGCUUUAUUAUACCUUACUAUGUGGGGAUCCAGACAAGGCUGUCUGGCCUCUUUUUUUUUUUUUUUUUUAAUUUUUUCCCCUCAAUGAUCUAUUGUCUUAGAGUUCUAACUAAUAAAUCUCCAAACCAUACCUACUCAAUAUAAAUGGAAAGUAGAGUUUGUCUUCCAAAUGUCUUUCACACAGUACUUUUGCAUUUCUUCCCCACUCAGUAAACCUUAUUGAGAAGGCCGUGUUAGUUUCAUUAACCUCUUAAUUUCAUGUAUGGUAAUAGUACAUUAUGCAUGUACAUUUGUAAUCCUACCCUCAUUUGUGUCAUCUAAUAUCUCUGGAGUAAUAAACAAAAUGCUACUUCAUGAUGUAUUUGGAAUUCUACACCACUAUGUACCUCAGUUAAGUAAUUGUUUUGGGUCAACAUUCUAGCUGAGCUUUUCCAUUGCUGCUCUAGGGAGCUAUGUAGGCUCUAGAACCUUUUUAGAAUGUUCUAGAAACAGCUCUGCUGUGGUAUAGUGGAGAGAUCUGACAGUUCCACUUCUCUUCACUGCUGGUCUCAUCAGCUGGACACGUCGGCCUAGAACCACAGAGCAAGGCAUCUUGAUCUAGAACCACAGAUCAGGCCAAGGCAGCAAGACGUGAUUGUUGGAAAGAAAUGUAUAAUAAUGAAUACACUUAUGAAAUUGAUAUUGUUGUGUGAUUUCAAAGUAACAGUGCAUACUGUAACAUUUUAUUUCUAACCAUGUUACUAGCUUCUCUAUUUUUACUCUUAUAAUUUAUACUUAUUAAUAUUGGGUAUCCGCGCAAACAAAGACUUGUUCACAAAUUGAAAUAUUUUUCUGGUAGAUCAUUGAUGUUCUAUGCUGUAUAAAGCCAGUGUGUGUCCAGGUACACCGCCAUAAAACCAGAACAACAACCUGAAAACCUUAGCAUUUUGUUUAACUCUCUCCUUUGGUGGCUUAGCUUCUACACACACCCUUACUGUAUGUCUACAACUAAGUAUCCAUAGUCCUUUCUGUGAAAGGAUUGGCCUUCAGGAAAAAAAUGAAUGAUUUAGUUGUUUUGCCAAACCCUGUUGAAUUGAAACAAUAUUCAAUAAAAACCAUACAUUUUAUUUGUCUAA